Arachis ipaensis is the source of this 6484-nucleotide non-coding RNA. The record is from RefSeq and is a predicted model, not a curated record. Lineage: Eukaryota; Viridiplantae; Streptophyta; Magnoliopsida; Fabales; Fabaceae.
CACCUAUAAUUUAUAGCCAAGGAGGAUAAAACCAAUAAAAAACAAUAAUUUAUGCAUAGCGGUGACGUGCAUAUAAGACCAACCGUGAAGCAACACUUUUAGCAACAAUAAUGUGAUUUUUUGAAACAACCAGUAAACUUGGUAGGGUGCACCGCACAACUGAAUACGGUGUUGGAUUACUCAUGUGGCAAGGAAUAUAAAUGAAGAGAUGAGUCGUUGUAUUGUUACCAUGAAGAGGUAACGAAAGAUGCCAUUACACGAGCACAUCAUCUCUGACCUUUAGGUUGUUGAGUUGUACCAUGUUGAUAGGUUUCAUGAGUAAUGGUUCAAGGUUGAUUAGGCUCUUGUUAGUGUAUUUAUAGAGCGAUAGUAUCCGGAGAUCCAUACAUUUCAUAUGCCUUUUGAUAUGAGCUCUAUGAGACAAACUGAGAACUAUCAUAUGCUAUAAUACCAAUUGGUCCAAUUACAAGAGCAACAACUAAGAGAAUAAAAGAAGGUUUUGCAAACAUGGCUAAAUUAUUUGUUCAGGAGAUGCAUCAAGAAUUAGCUAAGACAAUAGUUAACAAUUAUGAAAAACCAAAUGCCUUAUUAGUUACAAAUUGCAUUAAAGACUUUCGUCAGUCAAGUUGAAUCAAAUAAGCAUCAUUGUAUUAGUAUUUACUUUAAGAUUUAUUUUAUGUUUAAUUUAUUUUUUUUUUGUUUUAAGCUCAAUUAUAUUUGACUCGUUUUUGUCUUAGUGAACUUAUGAGUUAGGAUUUUAAACUUAAGAGAUAUAAAAAUCUUUAAACCUUUUAGCUAUUUUUUCUUAAUUUUUGAUGAAUAAAAAUUUCUUGAGUUUUUUUGAAAAAUUUGGGUGUGAUAAGAAAGGUAGAGUGAUUGCCUUAACUGUUGUAUCAGGAAAUCAAAUUGAAGUAAAUGAGUCUAUUUCUUUGAUUUUUCAUCUUAUUCUAAGUUUUGUUCAGUAUCAUUUGGUAUCAGAUUCAGGUAUUAAAUUAAUUUUUAUUGGUCUAUGUUUAUUCUUCUUAUGUCUUGAAAAAAAAAUUCAUUUUCAAUUGUGAUUGUUCGAUUCUUUUGUGUUCUUAAAAAAAAUCUCAGUUAUCGUCUCUUGUUUGUAGUGUUUUUUAUUAUUUAGGAUAUUUUAAUUUAGUCUUCACCUGAUACUUGUUCUUAGAACUAUGUAUCCACAAGGUUUGUCCUUUCUUCUAAUUGCUUUUGUUGAGUAUAGUGAUAUAUUAGAAAUUGUCAUACGCAAUUUGAAUUUGACCAUCACUUUAAUACAUUAGGAAUUAUUAUACACAAUAGUGUAUCAGUUUCAAGUGUCGUAGCCUACACUAAAAAAAAUUAAUACAAAAAAAAUCAACAAAAAAACAAAAGAGAAAGAAAGAAAAGAUAUAAAUAUUUAGAUAUAUCUUUGAUUUUGAUUUUACACUUUUUUUUAUUUUGUCUUGUUAUUUUGAUUCUUAUCUUCACUUUGAUAUAUUCUAGUGCCUUAUUUUAUUGUUCUAAGUACCUUUGUAAUUUAACUCUAUUCUUGUUCAUCGAUUUCUUCUACUUUUUAUUUGGUUUCUAAAGUGUAACUAAAUAGAACUCAAGAGUGAUAAAAAGGCAAGAGCGGUGUGUUUAAUAGAGGGUAAAAGCCAAUUUUAAGAGUAAACACGAGUGUCCAUCAUCAAGUGAAAUACGUGAAAGAGUGAUUGCGAGGUCCUUUCUAUAACAUCUUUGCAAGUUCAUUAUUAUGAUGACCCACUCAAAAGAUACUCUGAAUCUCUGAUUGAUGUGAGAAUGAUACUAAGGGUCAUUCAAUACUUAACUAAUCUCUUGAAUGAAUUAGAGGAAUGGAGGCAGAAAGUGACACACACAUUGUUCAAUAAUACAAAAAUGAAACUUUUAGGAAUUGGCAUCAAAAUCAUAGAUUAUAACUCUGAUGGGAAUACAACACAUCAACACAAAAAUGAAGAUAGCAAUAUCAAAGUCAUCAAGAUGCAAAUACCACCGUUCAAAGAGAGAAACGACCUUGAAGUUUAUUUGGAGUGAAAACGUAAGUUGAAAAGAAUUUUUGCUUGUCAUAAUUACUUUGAGACAAAGAAAGUUCGUUUGGCAGCAGUUGCAUUUUCUGACUAUGCCUUGCUUUGGUGGGAUGAACUAGCAAAGACAAGAUGGCAGAAUGAUGAUUAUCCUAUAGAGACUUGGGAUCAUAUGAAGUGCCUCAUGAAAAAGAGAUUUGUGCCUUCAUACUACUACAGAAAAGUGCAUCAGAAGUUAUACUGGUUGAUUCAAGCCUCCAAGUCUGUUAAAGACUACAAUAAGAAAAUGGAGAUGCUUAUGAUCAAGGCUAACAUAGAAGAGGAUACCAAAGUUACUAUGACAAAAUUUAUAGGUGGUUUGAAUAGAGCGAUUGCUGAUGUGGUGGAGUUACAUCAUUAUGUAGAGAUGGAUAAUUUAGUUAGUACGACAAUGAAGAUGGAGAGGAAACAACAAAGAAGAGCACCAAAAAAUUGUCUCAUGCUAAUCCAAAGUAGACAGAGUCUCUAGUGAUGACACAACAAAUACGAAGUGUGUCGAAUUUAAGGAGAAGUUAUUUGAUACUACAGAGAAGAAAGGUAAUUCUAACUCUUCUUCUUCUGCUACUUCUAGGCACAAAGAUAUUAGAUGCUUCAAGUGUCAUGGUUUGGAUCUUUAUGUUAGUGAUUUUUCGAACAAGAGGAUGAUGGUUAUUAGAGGGGGUCAUAUUGUGUCUGAUUCUAAUUAAGGCGAUGACUCUGAUCAUAUUAGUGUGUCACCUUUGGAGGAUUGUUCUGAUGGUAAUGUAAAAUAUGCAGUCCACUGUGAAUCUCUUAUUGUUAGGCGUGCUUUGAAUUUGCAGCUGGUGAAAGCAGAUAGCUUAAAAUAAUGCCAAAAUCCUUUUUAUUCUAGAUGCUUGGUGGGUGGAAAGAUAUGUAGUAUGAUUAUUGAUGGAGGGAGUUAGACUAAUGUGGCUAGUACACUUUGGUGGAGAAAUUGGGCUUGACAUCUGUUCGACACCCUAAACCAUUUAGUUUCGAAUAGUUGAAUGACAGUGGUGAGAUAAACGUUAACACGCAGGUGACAGUUGUGUUCUCUAUUGGAAAUUAUGUUGAUGAGGUAUUUGUGAUGUGGUGUUAAUGCAAGAUUGUCAUUUAUUAUUAGGGAACAUUGGCAGUUUGACUAUCGAGCUAUCCAUGAUGGUUACACAAAUCAGUUCUCUUUUGAUUUUAGUGGUUGUAAGAUCACUCUUACUCUAUUAUCAUCUAAAGAGGAUUACCUUGACCAAUUGAAGUUUCAACAGGAUACCAAAAAAAAUGGGAUGUAAGGUAUAAGAAAAAUCUGAGAGAAAAGAGGCCAUAAGAAAAAAGAAUAUAGGCAAAGGCCCAAAGGUGAGUGAAAAGAAAAAAAAAAGAGUGCAUGUCAUGAGAAUAAUGCGAAUACAAAGAAAAAUGAGAGAGUUGAGAGAAAAUUGUUUCUUUGAAAAAGAGAGAUAUUUAAAGAAUGCUUUAGUCGGCAAAAGAGCUAUGAUUAUGGUUCGAUUUAAAGACACUUUAUUAUUUGACACUGAACUAAACUCAAAUUUUUCAAAUAGAUUUGUCUCUUUGUUAUAGAAAUUUGCAAAUAUCUUUUCUAUUGACGUGCCAAGUAAUUUGCCUUCAUUACGAGAAAUUAAGUGCCAAAUUAAUUUUAUUCCUAGAGCUAGAAUUUUUAAUAGACCAGUCUAUAAAAAUAAUUCUGAAGAGACAAAGAUUCUUCAAAAGAAAGUGGAAGAAUUACUGGCCAAAGGCUACAUCAAAAAGAGUUUGAACUCAUGUGCUAUACCCGUUUGGUUGGUUCCAAAGAAAGAUGGUACUUGAAGAAUGUGUGUAGAUUAUUGUGUAGUCAACAAGAUUAUGAUAAAGUAUAGGCUAAAUGACAUGCUUAAUGAAUUUCUUGGUGCAUGCAUAUUCACUAAAAUUAAUUUAAAAAGUGAGUAUCACAAAUUAGAAUGAAACGAGGGGAUGAAUAAAAAACUACAUUUAAAACAAAACAUGGAUUAUAUGAGUGGUUAGUAAUGCCUUUUGGGUUAACUAACACACUUAGUACCUAUAUCUGUCUAAUGAACCAUGUUUUGCACGAUGUUUUGGGUAAAUUUAUUGUUGUUUAUUUUGAUGAUAUUCUCAUUUAUAACACUUGUUUGGAUGACCAAUUGUCACAUAUUUCAGCUGUUUUGGAAGUGUUUCGAAAAGAGAAAUUAUAUGCAAAUCUUAAAAAGUGUACAUUUUGUAUUAAUAGAGUUGUGUUUCUUAGUUUUAUUGUGAGUGCGAGUGAAAUUAAGGUUGAUAAAAAAAAUGUGAAGACUAUUCAUGAAUGGCCAAUGCCUAAAAAUGCUUCUGAGGUAAAAAAUAUUUCACGGUUUAAUUGAGUUUUAUAGGAGAUUUAUGAUAAAUUUUUCUACUAUUGUUGCACCUCUCACAAAGGUUAUCAAAAAUUAUGUUGGAUUUAAAUGGGACAAAUAACAAAAAACUGUAUUCAUACUCUAAAAUAUUAUUUGUGUUCUUCCCUUAUUCUUGUUUUACCUAACUUUGAUAAAAUUUUUGAGAUUGAAUGUGAUGCUUUUGGAAUUGGUAUAAGUGUUGUUUCGAUACAGAAAAAGCGAGCGAUUACCUUCUUCAGUGAGACAACACUACCUAUUACCCAAGAAAUUUGUGACAAAAGACAUGGUAAGUGGGUAAAAUUCUUUGAGACAUUUUUAUAUGUGAUUUCAUUUAAAUAAGAUAAAAAAAAUAUAGUUGUUGAUGCCUUAUCUAAGAGGUAUACUUUGAUUACUACACUUACUUCUAAGUUGUUAGGGUUUAAGUUUUAAAACAAUUGUAUACAACUGAUGCUGAAUUUUAUGCUAUUCAUGUCUCUUGUGAACAUGGUGCAUUGAACAAAUUUUAUAGACAUAAAGGUCUUUUAUUUUGUGGUAAUAGAAUUUGUGUGUCUGCUUGUUCUAAGGGAUUUACUUAUUCUGGAAUCACACAGUGGGAUUUGAUGGGUCAUUUUGGUAUACAUAAGACUUUGGAUGUUUUGUCUAAAUAUUUUUACUAGCCACAAAUAUGUAAGGAUGUUAAAAAAUUUUGUGCUAAAUGUCUUGCAUGUAAACAGGCUAUAGCUAAGUCAUUGUCACAUAGUUUGUACACUCCUUCACCCGUUCCUAUACAUCCGUGGGUUAAUAAUUCUAUGGAUUUUGUUCUUAGUUUGGCUUGAACUAGUAAAGGUAGAGAUAGCAUUUUUGUUGUGGUAGACAGGUUUAGUAAAAUAGCUCAUUCAUGCAUGUCAUAAAACUGAUGAUGCAACAAAUAUUAUUGAUAUGUUCUUUAGAGAGGUUGUGCGCUUGCAUGUUGUUCCCCAAACUAUUAUUUUUUAUCAUGAUGUAAAAAUUUUUUAUUCAUUUUUGGAGAGUGUUAUGGAGUAAGUUGAGAACAAAAUUAUUAUACUCUACUACUUGUCAUUCUCAGACUAAUGGUCAAACUGAAGUAGUAAAUCGAACAUUAGGAACUUUAUUAUGUGCUGUUGUUGGAAGAAUCUGAAAACUUGAGAAGAUUCACUUUUUAGUAAGUUUGCUUAUAAUAGAAAAAUUCAUUCUUCCAUUUUCUCCUUUUGAACUUGUGUAUAGUUUUAAUCUUUUAACAGUUUUGGACUUAUUACCUUUGACUUUGAGUGAUCUUGUUAGCUUGGAUGAAGAAGGUAAAGUUGAAAAGGUUAAGACAAUGCACUUGAAAGCACGUGAGUUGAUUGAAAAGAAAAAUAGGUUGACAGCUUAAAGGGUGAAUAAAGGUCGAAGACAACUUGUCUUUGAACCUGGUGACUGGGUAUGGUUCACUUGGGAAAGGAGAGGUUUCUUAAUCAAAGAAAAUUCAAGUUAGAUCCCAGGGGUAAUGGUCCAUUUCAGGUGUUAGAAAGGAUCAAUGACAAUACAUACAAGAUUGAUCUUCCAGGUGAGUAUAAUGUGCCAGCUACUUUUAAUAUCCCUAAUCUAUCUCCUUUUGAUUUGAAUUCAGGAGGGAGGGAAUGAUACGAGCUCAGUGGGAUAAACUAAGAAUUGUCAUAUGCCAAUUGGUCUAAUUACAAGAGCAACAGCUAAGAGAAUAAAAGAAGAUUUUGUAAACAUGACUAAAUUAUUUGUUCAGAAAAUGCAUCAAGAAUUGACCAAGACAAUAGUUAAUGAUUAUGAAAAACCAAACGUCCUACUAAUUACAAGCAUUGAAGACUCUCGUUAGUCAAGUUGAAUCAAAUAGGGAUCACUUUAUUAAUAUUUAUUUUAAGACUUAUUUUAUGUUUAUUUUAUUUUAUUUUAUUUUGUUUGUUUUAGGCUCAAUUAUGAUUUGCCCCAUAUUUGUCUUAGAAAAUUUAUGAGUUAGGUUUUUAAACCUAAGAGGUAUACAAACAUCUAAACCUUGUAGUUACUUUUUCUUAAUUUUUUAUGAAUGAAAAUUUCUUGAGUUUCUUUGAGAAA